UUUUGCAUCACUGGCUUCUGAUAAACUAAGGCCGCUCUGCCUGUUAACACCCUCUUCAAGCCCAGGACCUCAUCUAUCCCAGCCAGAUACGUCCUGAUGCACACUUGUGUAAAUAUCUGCAUAUGUAGAGACUGUGGUGUCAAGAGCCCUGUUUCUCAUUUUGUUAUUUAUUUUUUUAGCUUUUGAACUAAUAUAGAGUGCAGUCG
This 206-nucleotide long non-coding RNA is filed under the name Homo sapiens (human). Its description in RNAcentral is "non-protein coding lnc-KIAA1328-6:1". Lineage: Eukaryota; Metazoa; Chordata; Mammalia; Primates; Hominidae. The record is from RNAcentral.